Molecule: non-coding RNA, 30 nt
Filed under: Rattus norvegicus (Norway rat)
Lineage: Eukaryota; Metazoa; Chordata; Mammalia; Rodentia; Muridae
Source: RNAcentral
UGUGUGUGUAUACAUAUAUACCUGUGCCCC